AACGCACAUUGCGCCCUUUGGUAUUCCUUAGGGCACACCUGUUCGAGCGUCAUUACACCACUCAAGCCUAGCUUGGUAUUGGGCGCCGCGGCUCCUGUCGCGCGCCUCAAAGACGUCGGCCGAGUCGUCAAGUCUCUUAGCGUUGUGCAAACUCUCGCUGGUGAGGAUUGAUGGCCCGCGCCGUUAAACCUUUUUUUCAAGGUUGACCUCGGAUCAGGUGGGGAUACCCGCUGAACUUAA
RNAcentral lists this unclassified non-coding RNA (240 nucleotides) under uncultured fungus. RNAcentral's name for it is "partial contains 5.8S ribosomal RNA, internal transcribed spacer 2, and large subunit ribosomal RNA". The record is from RNAcentral. Lineage: Eukaryota; Fungi.